RNAcentral lists this ribosomal RNA (549 nucleotides) under Genyatremus cavifrons. RNAcentral describes it as "partial 16S ribosomal RNA". It matches the Rfam family "Bacterial large subunit ribosomal RNA", at positions 1858 to 2606 of the family's 2925-position model. Lineage: Eukaryota; Metazoa; Chordata; Actinopteri; Lutjaniformes; Haemulidae. The record is from RNAcentral.
CCUGCCCAGUGACCUGAGUGUUCAACGGCCGCGGUAUUCUGACCGUGCGAAGGUAGCGCAAUCACUUGUCUUUUAAAUGGGGACCUGUAUGAAUGGCCUAACGAGGGCUUGACUGUCUCCUUUUUCCAGUCAAUGAAAUUGAUCUCCCCGUGCAGAAGCGGAGAUAAGCACAUAAGACGAGAAGACCCCGUGGAGCUUUAGACGAAGGGCAGCCCAUGUCUAUAGACCCUAGAUACAGGACCGAGCUAAUUGGCCCCUGCCCUCAUGUCUUAGGUUGGGGCGACCAUGGAGAAUAACAAAACCUCCACGCAGAGAGAGUACUAGACUCCCAGAACCAAGAGCUCCUGCUCUAAUGACCAGAACUUCUGACUAAAGGAUCCGGCAAUAGCCGAUUAACGAAACAAGUUACCCCAGGGAUAACAGCGCAAUCCUCUUCUAGAGCUCCUAUCGACAAGGGGGUUUACGACCUCGAUGUUGGAUCAGGGCAUCCUAAUGGCGCAGCCGCUAUUAAUGGUUCGUUUGUUCAACGAUUAAAGCCCUACGUGAUCU